GAAUAUGAGGGUGCUCUGGCUGCAACAAGUCACCCCAAUGAUCUGGUUGGCUAGGCAGAUGUCCUCUUCCUCCCUCACUGCUCUGUGUGACCUGCCAACACUGCUGGCUCAGUGGAAGAGGACGACCACCCUAGACAGCGGACCACUUCCUUGGCCAAAGGUAAACGAGUAGCUAUACUACCCUGCUAGAACUUUCAAAUAAAGUCCUAUCUGGUGAGGGCUUUCUUGCUGUAUUAUUACAGCAAAUAUGGGAGACCAUAUUUGGUGAGACAGUGUGAAUGUGCUAGGUUGGGUCUCUCUUC
RNAcentral lists this small nuclear RNA (302 nucleotides) under Fukomys damarensis (Damara mole-rat). Its description in RNAcentral is "7SK RNA". The stretch from base 1 to 263 matches the Rfam family "7SK RNA". Rfam says of the family: 7SK was discovered as an abundant small nuclear RNA in the mid-70s but a possible function has only recently been suggested. Two independent studies have found that 7SK RNA binds the CDK9/cyclin T complex (known as elongation factor P-TEFb). Lineage: Eukaryota; Metazoa; Chordata; Mammalia; Rodentia; Bathyergidae. The record is from Rfam by way of RNAcentral.